UGGCGGAAGUGCAUGGGAAUCGAACCCACCCGAGACGGUUCUAGCGCCUCACACCGGAUUUGAAGUCCGGGAGCCCCACCAGUGAGCUGUGCACUUCC
Molecule: transfer RNA, 98 nt
Filed under: Desulfosarcina sp. BuS5
Lineage: Bacteria; Pseudomonadati; Thermodesulfobacteriota; Desulfobacteria; Desulfobacterales; Desulfosarcinaceae
Description: tRNA-Sec
Source: RNAcentral